This is a long non-coding RNA of Pseudopipra pipra, 583 nucleotides long. RefSeq lists it as uncharacterized. The record is from RefSeq and is a predicted model, not a curated record. The transcript has 2 exons. Lineage: Eukaryota; Metazoa; Chordata; Aves; Passeriformes; Pipridae.
UAUGGCUUUAAAAGUGCACUUUUGUAACAUUUGUCUAAAGAGCAGUGGGCCUUUGGAUUUUCCCUUUGGAUACACAGAUUGCAGCUCCAAAAAAGUCUGUUUUAGGCCAUAGUUGCCAGUCAUGUUCAUAAAUCUGUGCUGGUUACUCAGAGCUGGUUAAAAGGCUGCAACAUCAGUUCUCUCUCAACAUCUCUUUAGAUAAGGUACAUAAGUAGAAAGUGGGAGUAUAAUGAAAUAUAUCUUCCUCAUCUUCUUGCUUUGUUUUGAUCUUGCAUUCCAGGCAAUAAAAAACCUGCAAAUAAUUCUGAAGUGUGAAUUCUCUCUUGCUGGGAUCUGCAGAAAAGGAACACCCAGAUCAUCAGCCAACAAGGCAGCAGCAACUGUGAGAAGAACCAACUGUGAGCCCUUGAAAUCCUUUCCAAAGAUGGAAAUAACUUCUUUACCUUCAGUCCUGCCUGGAAUUCUCCCUCUGUGAGAGGCACAAUCUCAGUGUGCUCUGGUAGCACCAACUUGAAACCAGUUUUACCUGAAGUUUGGGGGAAUCCUGUCUUACCACUCUCUCAAUAAAUUUAAAUAUGCUGCA